Molecule: RNA transcript, 7639 nt
Organism: Pezoporus flaviventris
Lineage: Eukaryota; Metazoa; Chordata; Aves; Psittaciformes; Psittacidae
Gene: SCAF8
Gene name: SR-related CTD associated factor 8
Exons: 22
Source: RefSeq, a predicted model, not a curated record
GUCUCCGUGUGUCCGCCAUAUUGGUGCCCGCGCCGCAGCCACUGCGCGUUGUUCCUCCAUCUCCUGCCGUUGCGGCCGAGCGGGAGAAGGGACGGGACGGGACGUCGGCGCCGCUGCCGGGCGGGAAGCGGGGCGAGGAGGCUGCGCGCUGCCGGGAGGAGACGGAAACGAGCGGGCCCCGCAUCCCUCCGCGGCCGCCCCCUGCGCCACCCGCCAUGGCGAGGAGGCCCGGCGGCCCCUGAGCGAGGCGCACACGCACAAACAGACCGAGACUAGCCAUCCUCUGGGCCGCGGCCCGUCCCGGCCGCUAUCAGCUGAGAGAAGCCGCCCGGCUCCCGCCUCCACCACGACAUGGAGGCCGUGAAAGCUUUUAACAGCGAGUUGUACUCACUAAAUGAUUAUAAGCCACCCAUUUCUAAAGCUAAAAUGACACAGAUCACCAAGGCAGCAAUCAAGGCUAUAAAGUUCUACAAGCACGUUGUACAGAGUGUUGAGAAAUUCAUUCAAAAGUGCAAACCGGAAUACAAGGUACCUGGUCUGUAUGUCAUUGACUCCAUUGUGAGACAGUCCCGGCAUCAGUUUGGACAAGAAAAGGAUGUAUUUGCUCCAAGGUUCAGUAAUAACAUCAUCAGCACUUUCCAGAACUUGUACCGUUGUCCUGGGGAUGAUAAGAGUAAAAUUGUUAGAGUGCUGAAUUUAUGGCAGAAGAAUAAUGUGUUCAAGAGUGAAAUUAUUCAGCCUCUUUUGGAUAUGGCAGCAGGAAUUCCUCCUCCAGUUGUGACCCCUGUCUUGCCCAGCACUACAGCUGCUAUGAGUAACAAUACACCAGGAACACCUGUGACUCCAGUUACUCCAGCCAAUGUAGUGCAAAGUUUACCUGAUCCUUGGGUGUCUCAGAUUGCUAAUACAGAUACCCUUGCUGCUGUUGCACAAAUUUUACAGAGUCCUCAAGGCCAACAGCUUCAGCAGUUGAUACAGACGCUGCAGAUACAGCAGCAGAAACCGCAGCCUUCACUACUGCAAGCUCUGGAUGCUGGUCUUGUUGUUCAGUUGCAGGCCCUCACAGCACAACUUACAGCUGCAGCUGCUGCUGCUAACACACUUAAUCCACUGGAACAAAGUGUCUCUUUUAAUAAGAAGCUGAUGGACAGGUUUGACUUUGGGGAAGAAUCUGAACAAAAUGAAGAGCCUAAAAAAGAAGCUCCCACUUCACAACUGCCUUUAGUACCAGAAUCUGUGAAUAGCUCCCUUUUUCACCAACUAGCUGAACAGCUACAGCAACAAAAUCUAGAACACCUUAGACAACAGCUUCUGGAGCAACAGCAGCCUCAAAAGGCAAGCCCUGAGCAGAAUCAAGAAGGAAAUUUUGGUUCAGAGCACUCUGCAUCACCAUCACAAGGGAGUAGUCAGCAGCAGUUUUUAGAAGUGGAAACAAAUGUAGAUGAUUCAAUGGAUAUUCAACAACAGGACAUGGAUAUAGAUGAAGGACAGGAUGUUGCUGAAGAAGAGAUUUUUGAACAAGAAGAAAAGAAAUCAGCUGUUCGUUCAAGAUCAAGAACUCGCUCAAGAUCUCGUUCAAGGUCACCAAGAAAACGAAGGUCAAGAUCACGGUCUGGUUCUCGUAAGCGUAAACACAGAAAACGUUCACGCUCAAGAUCAAGAGAAAGGAAGAGAAAGUCAUCUCGGUCAUAUUCCAGUGAGAGAAGGGCUAGGGAAAGGGAAAAAGAACGUCAGAAAAAGGGUUUGCCUCCUAUACGGUCAAAAACACUAAGUGUUUGCAGUACCACUCUUUGGGUAGGUCAAGUAGACAAGAAGGCUACACAGCAAGAUUUAACUAACUUAUUUGAAGAAUUUGGACAAAUAGAGUCAAUUAAUAUGAUUCCCCCAAGAGGGUGUGCUUAUGUCUGUAUGGUUCAUAGACAAGAUGCGUAUCGUGCUCUUCAGAAACUUAGUUCUGGGUCCUAUAAAAUUGGAUCUAAAAUUAUUAAGAUUGCCUGGGCUUUGAAUAAAGGUGUGAAAACAGAAUACAAGCAAUUCUGGGAUGUGGAUCUAGGAGUUUCAUAUAUUCCUUGGGAGAAAGUAAAAUUAGAUGAUUUGGAGGGCUUUGCUGAAGGUGGCAUGAUUGAUCAGGAAACAGUAAAUACAGAAUGGGAAACAGCCAGAAGCUCAGAAGCUGCUAAAGAAAAUACUCAAACUACACAGAGUGCUGCAGUUGAUAAGAAUACAGUUAUUACAACACAGACAGAAGCUUACACGCAACCAGUCACUAUGCUGCAGAUUCCAGUAGCUCCAGCUGUGCCUGCUGUUAGCUUGGUUCCACCUGCUUUUCCUGUCACAAUGUCUGUCCCUCCUCCUGGUUAUAGCGCAAUUCCUCCUCCACCCUUCUUGCGUGCAAGUUUCAACCCUUCACAGCCACCUCCAGGUUAUAUGCCUCCCCCAGUUCCACCUGUGGUUCCACCGCCUGUUGUCCCACCACCUGUUGUUCCACCAGUUGUUCCAACACCUUUGGUACAGCCUCCGUUACCAAUUGCACAAGAGACGAUGAAGGAUGUUCCUUUUACUAGCCUUGUUCUACCAGUUGGCACAGUUACUAGCAAUCUAGCUACUCCAACGUUAUCUGCUGGAAAUGUUUUUAAUCCUCUGCCAAUCAACAAACCAGAAUCAGAUGAAAAGGGAUCACAUCUUGCAGACCUUCAGAUUUCUUCCAGUGAAAACAAUAGAUCUGUGCAAAAUGAUGUUUCGAGUAGCUCCGGACUUGUUGGAGGAGUGCAGCCAUGUAGUGUCUCAAGCAGUUCUGGCCUUACUGGAGAAGGGCAACCACCCAGCGUCUCAAGUAGCUCUGGACUUGCAGGAGGAGUACAGCCACCCAGUGUUUCAAGCAGCUCUGGACUUGUAGGAGGAGUGCAACCAUCACCUGUUUCAAGCAGUUCUGGUCUUGCAGGAGGAGUGCAGCUGCCAGCUGUCUCCAGUAGCUCUUCUCUUGCCGGCGGAGUUCAGCCAACCAGCGUCUCAAGUAGCUCUGGACUUAUGGCUGGAGUGCAACCACCAAAUGUCUCAAGUAGCUCAGGGCUUAUAGCAGGAGUGCAUCCACCCACUGUCUCAAGCAGCCCUGGCCUUUUGACAGGAAUGCAGCCACCCAGUGUCUCAAGCAGCUCAGGAGUUCUGGCAGGAGUACAGCCACCUAGUGUCUCUAGCAACUCUGGGCUUCUCAUAAUGCCACCGCCCAAUGUUUCAAGUAGUUCUGGACCGAUGGGUGUGCCACCACCAAAUAUUUCAAAUAGUUCUGGACUUCUGGCAAUGCAACAUCCAGCUGGGGUUCCAAAUAUGCCUCAUUUAAAUAUUAGUAGUCAAAGGAUGCCAGGAAUACCUCUUAUAGAUAUCCGUCCAGGCCUAAUGCCUCAUUCAGCUGGACCAAGGUUUCCAUUAAUGCAGCCAGGAAUGCCACCACAGCGUAGUAUUCCUCCUCCAGCAAUUCUUGAUCCAUCUCUUCACCCGCCACCUCGAGGUCCUUUUCCUCCAGGAGAUAUUUUUACUCAAACAGAAAGACCUUUUGGAACACCAGGAAGACAAAAUAUCGACAACAUUUCUAAUCCAGAGAAAAGACUACCACUUGGAGGUGAUAACAUUCAGCAGGAAGGAGACAGAGAUUAUCGCUUUCCUCCAGUGGAAAACAGAGAUAAUCUUAACAGGCCUUCUCCAGUGGAUGUCAGAGAUUCUGUUGGGCGACCACCAGUUGAUCCAAGAGAGAGUGUAGGAAGGCCUCCACUAGAUGGAAGAGAACACUUUGCAAGACCACAUGUAGACAUGAGAGAAAAUUUUGGAAGGCCAGGUAUUGAUAACCUUGGUCGAAGAGAGCAUUUUGGUUUCAAUUCAGACAAGCACUGGGGACAGAGAGGAGAUUAUGAUGAAAGAGAGCACCACGCCUUCCCUAUUUAUGGUGGCCCUAAAGGCUUCCAUGAAGACAGAGAGAGGUUUCGGCAUGUAAACUAUAGAUUUGAUAGUAGAAGUGGUCCCAAUUGGAAUAGAGGAUUUGAACAGGAUGCUCACAGAGAUUUUGAUGACCGCAGAAGACCCUGGGAAAGACAGAGGGAUAGGGAUGACAGAGAUUUUAAUUUUUGCAGAGAAGUUAAUGGGAACAGGUUUGGAAGAGACAGAAUGUCAAACAACUGGAUCCCCCCUCCACAUCCACGGGUUUUUGAAUAUUUUGAUGGGGCCACUUCCCAGCGCAAAGUUGAAAAUCUGCCCCAGGUAAAUGGUGAAAAUACAGAGACAGAAAGUCAGCCACCAAAUGCACAGGUGCAGGAUGAUCCUGAACUUUAUGAAAAACUGACAUCUUCCGUCGAGAUAAACAAAGAGAAGAGUGACACAGAAGCUGAUACAGAGAGUGAACCAGUGGUAGAAAGCACAGAAACUGAGGGGACAUAAUCAUCACUCAGUAGGUAAAAGAUACCUUUUGUAAAGUUGUCAUCUCUCUGUAAUAGAUAAAUGGCUGACUGGACCGUAGCAGUUCACUUUUGUCUGCCAGACUUAAGUUAAUCUGAUGUUCAUGUUCAUCUUUCACUUAAAUAACUGUACAACUGACUUGUAUAGAACACUGUUCUUAAUUUGAACAUAGUAGGUAAACUUUUUUUUUUUUAAUUAUUUCUCUGGUAAAGCAUAAACUUGCCCCCACUUGCUUUUAAUUUCACAAAGAUAAAAUAACAGCUUGUCAAACAAAGACUUCCUAUGGAAGAAAAUGGAAUUUUUUAGAUACUACCCUUAGGUUGGCUAUUGAAAUUGUUAUACUUGAAAACAGGUGCUGGUGUGUCUUGUCCGUGUUUUUAGGCUGCUGCAGAAUUUUAAAGUAUAGACAAAGCUGGGAUAUUUUAUGUUCCUACAAUUCGGCAGAAAAAGGAAUGGCCCAUGUUAUUAAAGGAGCAUAAUACAGAGAUUAAAAGUGAUUUUGUAAAAUCGACACUAUAGUCUCUGUUUUCUCUAAAGUAAGUGUUUGUGAUUUGUUCCUCGUACUGCAGUGGGUUUAAAAAAAAAAAUAUGAAAAAGUACAUUUUAAUGUUGGGUGCAUUUUGUUUUUAGAUGCCAAUAAAGCAUAUUUGUUUGAUAACAGUGUUCUAGGUAUUGUAUUUUUUUAAAAAACUGCAAGCUCUAAAAACUUGGAAUCAGCUAUGAUAUGUUCUUAGUUGUUGCAAAAGGUUUAUAUUACUUCUGUAAGACCAAUGCAACAGUUAUAUGUUCAAGAAGCCUAUGGUUUUUACAUUGAAAAUCAUGCAGUGAUAUUAGUUUAUGUAAAUAAUAUGUAUGUAAAUAUUUGUGUAAACUGUUUGUAGAUACCACUUUUUCUGUGUGUGCCUGUGUAUGUGCAUGCACUCACAGAAUAUUGUAGACAGUUCAAUAAAACUGAAAUCAAACUAGGGUAUAAAAAUUUGCCUUUCACCUUCUAUAGGUAGUGAGAUAACAAAACUUCCUUCACUACAGUACUCUCAAGCUUAUAUUUACUUUCUCAUGCUCAUUGUUACAGUGUUCUUAUUACUUCUAGAAGGUGGAACAUGAUAUACUGUAAGAGUAUACAGUAGGAUUUUAGCUUACUUUUUAAAAUGCAGAUAUGCAUGAAGCCAAAACUAAAGCAAAUAUUGCAUUGUCUUAUUUUGUAACAAAUUUGGUAUUCUGGAUAGCUAGUGGUAGCAUUCAAGUACUUUGUGGUUAUUUCUUUUUAGUGACUCAAACUCCAGAAAUGUUGCACGAAAAGUAAAAAGCUGUUGUUGGUCUUAAAAAAAACCUACAUUUUUUUUUUUAACAGAAAUAAGGGGGGGCUUUGUCUUUUGAUGGUUUAAUCUUGAAGUAGAACCUCUUACUAAAUCUUUGAGAUGAAUUGGCUGCUUAGGAAAUUAGUAGUUCUGUUCUCUCCUGUUUCACCUACUUUGCUGCUUGUGUAUUCUCUAAAUUGGUGGUGAAAGAUGUUGUCUAUAGGGUGAUGUCAGAUUUUGAGUUUGUUCCACUCAAGUGCGUUUCACCAACUUAGUUCAACAUAGCAUUUGUUAAAAUACGUGUCUGAAAGCAUCUUUUCACUCAGUUUUGAGAAGGUUGUUUUUUCUCUUGCAUAAUAAGAUCCAAGGGUAGAUUCUGUUACAUUAAUGCCCCUUUGGUAGAAGAAACAGUUUUAUCUCAGAUUAGAAUUUUGAUCUUUAACAUUAAAGCAUUAACAUGCAAGUUUUAAUUCCCCUUCUGCUUCCCCCAAAGGGAUGAAAGUAUGAGAAUGUCACGUGUCAUAAGCAUGCCUUUGAACAUAGAAGCAAGUUACGCAUGCCUGUGUUGUCCUCUUCCUCUGGGAGUGAAGAUGGCUUUUCUUCCCCGGAUUUUGCUUCUAUUUUCUUAAAUGUCUUUCCUGAGCCGUGGUUGCUUGCUGCUGUGAAACCAGCAGAGGGUGCACAGAACAUACAUAUUCGUGGCUGUUUCUUCACAGUCCACUGUGGUGCUGACAUGUGGAAACCAGGCAAGAUGAAGGAGGUUCUGGCAGCUUACCAGGUCCGGGGCUCUGCAGAGUUAAGUGAGAAGUGCGCCCAUGUUCUAGCAUGCAUCACAUCGCAUCUUGGGUCUGAAGUGCCAGAAGGAUCCCAGCGCUGCAGACUGAGACGGCUCUGAGCACCUCAGUACCCCGUUUCUGACAGAACCCAGGGAUGGCAAACGUACAUAUCAGUAUUACCUGUCUGGGGCAGGUUUAAUUUUAUAAAUUAAACCCAUAAACUCUGUGAGUUUCUAGACCAUAUUUCUGCUAUUGAGGAUGAUCUGCUCAGAUGAACAGUUUUGCAUCCAUCGGAGGGACAGGUUCUUCUGCUGGACCAGAAGAUGACAGUGGGCUCUAUCUUGUAACUAAUACCAUUUGUAGCAUCUUCUAGUGCAAAUAAUUGAAGAACAGGUUACAAGAAAAUCCUGUAGGGAAUAAGACAUGCUUUGUUUUAAUCUACAGAUUUUAAGAAAUGUUUUGUUUUUUUAAAGAGAACCACUUUUACAGAACACUAAGUGUGCAGUCUAUGUGCAGCUCUUCACUGUGGCUAUCUGUAUUCCAGAGAUGAUGAAUUCCCUGUGAGACACCUGAACCUUUUCAGAUUUGUGAUGAAUCCUUAAAUUAUGAGAGUACAAGAAAAACUGGGCGGGAAAAGUCCCAGGGCUUUUAUUAGACUAGAUGUCUACAAUUACUUCCUGCUGGUGUCCUGAAAGUAGGAGGAGAGGACAGGAAGUAGGAAUGAAAUACAAAAAAAUUACAAUGCAUUUCUUUUUUUGCAUAUGCAUCUAUCUGAAUGUGUGUUUGAUCUAAUAGCCAAGGGGAAAGAAACAGCUAAGUUAGCUGAGACCUCACAUGAAAGGUCUGCAUUUUUGGGCAGUAUUUGCUAAUUUUGUCUCUUGAAUAGCUAUAGGAAAGAAAGAAUAUGUAUAUGCCCCACCAUAUGUGAAAAGUACAUCCUUGCCAUUCCUUUAUUUAUUUUUGCUCUUUUAAAAAUUAAAGUGCCAGUUACUUGGAAUGCUGUAGUCUGUGGUCUCUUUACAUUUGUUUAGUGAGAUCCUUUCAGCAAGAUCAUACCCAUUAUAGUGUAACUGCAUGGUGACCACAGCUUUGGGCCUGUAUAAUAAAGAUCUAAAUUCAAAA